CCCUUAGAUGUUCUGGGCCGCACGCGUGCUACACUGAGUGGAUCAGCGGGUCGGGUUGCGCGAAAGUGUUUCCUAAUCUUUAAAUCCGCUCGUGAUGGGGAUUGACGGUUGCAAUUUUCCGUCAUGAACGAGGAAUACCUUGUAAGCGCGGGUCAUCAUCCCGCGCUGAAUACGUCCCUGCCCUUUGUACACACCGCCCGUCGCUCCUACCGAUUGAGUGGUCCGGUGAGGCUUUGGGAUCUGAGCGGAAAGAGCGUUUCGCUGUUUCUGCCCGGAAAACUCAGUCGAACCUUAUCAUUUAGAGGAAGGAGAAGUCGUAACA
RNAcentral lists this ribosomal RNA (322 nucleotides) under uncultured eukaryote. RNAcentral describes it as "partial 18S ribosomal RNA". It matches the Rfam family "Eukaryotic small subunit ribosomal RNA", at positions 1470 to 1796 of the family's 1831-position model. The record is from RNAcentral.